Molecule: long non-coding RNA, 1171 nt
Filed under: Junco hyemalis (dark-eyed junco)
Lineage: Eukaryota; Metazoa; Chordata; Aves; Passeriformes; Passerellidae
Description: lncRNA (ENSJHYG00000000294.1)
Source: RNAcentral
CCAAGGCAGAUCAAUGUUCACAAGGGAUUUACAGGCGUGCCAGCUGCUGCCAACAAACCCCGGUGCUCUGGGACUCAAACAGCACUAAGGAGUCGCCCUGCUGAGUGCCACAGCAUCUGCAGCUGCCUCAGGUCGUGCUGCUGUUGUGCAUCUGAGUGCCAGUGCUAGAAAUGAAAAGGUUCAAAGAAUUGUGACACCAAGGAAAGGCCCAAAGCUGCACUCUGCUCCUGACAGUUUCUCUUCACAGCACCAUUUUCCUCUGAGCAUGUUCCAGUGUCUCUGCACUCCCUGCCCACUGCAGCAGCUGGGGCCAGCCAAAGCAGGCUCGCCUAGCCUGGUGUUCCUGCUGGGAGCUUCUCACAGCACGAGCAACCUCCUCUCCCGCACAUCACAGGUGUUCUCCACAUGAUGGGAGCAGGUGAGAGCACAGCUUUGCCAAACCAUGAUGAAGUUUGGUAGCUGAAACCCAAAAUCCGUGUUUGGCCUGAGAUCUGAAUCUGGCUCUCUGCUCCAUCCUCUGCUCCGAGCCAAAUCAAACUGCAGCUCGUCAUGAAAAGCAAACAGCACCGUGCUCUGAUCGUGUAAGAUCUGCAUCCAGCUCCAAACUCCGAGAGGAACCUUCUCCCUGGGUGUGUGUGUGGCACAGUGCUGCCAAUGCCUGGCAUGGUGUGCAGGGCCAGGCAGCAAAGCCUUUUGGGAACGUGCUCAGAGUCACACCAAGGAUCUGCUGGGCAAAGAGGAGCACCAACAGAUUCAGCAUUGCCUGUGGUUCCCUUGUUCCCUGCAUCCCUUCCCAGCAAAGACACGGCGUGGCAGAGCCCUGACCCCAGGUGUUGGCUCCCCUCUGCAAUCGUGCCUGAUUGAGCAUUACCAGGAAAUGCAGAAAUGUGGAGCCAGACUGGUACUGAGCAGUACAAGACUGAAGAUCUUUCUGUUAGUGGGUCUCACUCAGCACCAUCAGCUGAUAUCGCUUAAAGAGGUGCCGAUUCGCUGCAAAGCACAGGUGGAGAUAAAAAGGCUUUCUCUGGGAGCCAAGCAGCACGGAGGAGCUGGAGCCUUGGCAGGAGCAGGAGGUGCCCCAAGCAGCUCUGCAAGGAGUGAGUGCCCUCACUGCUCUGUCACCAGCAGUCCCUGGGAGCCAUCAGCACCCACCAGCCAUUCCCUGAGAUAA